GCGCUCGCUUCAGCAGUACAUAUACUAAAAUUGGAACGGUACAGAGAAGAUCAGCCUGGCUCCUGUGCAAGGAUGAUGUGCAAAUUCGUGAAGCACUCCAUAUAAAA
Molecule: small nuclear RNA, 107 nt
Organism: Saimiri boliviensis boliviensis (Bolivian squirrel monkey)
Lineage: Eukaryota; Metazoa; Chordata; Mammalia; Primates; Cebidae
Source: Ensembl